GAUGAACGCUGGCGGUAUGCUUAACACAUGCAAGUCGAACGGACUCUUCGGAGUUAGUGGCGGACGGGUGAGUAACGCGUGAGAAUCUGGCUUUGGGUUCGGGACAACCACUGGAAACGGUGGCUAAUACCGGAUGUGCCGAGAGGUAAAAGAGAAAUUGCCUGAAGAUGAGCUCGCGUCUGAUUAGCUAGUUGGUGAGGUAAAGGCUCACCAAGGCAGCGAUCAGUAGCUGGUCUGAGAGGAUGACCAGCCACACUGGGACUGAGACACGGCCCAGACUCCUGGGGGGGGAAGCAGGGGGGAAUUUCCCGAAAGGGGGAAAGGCCGGACGGAGAAAUACGGGGUGAGGAAAAAAGGCUCUUGGGUUGAAAACCUUUUUUCUGAGGAAAGAAAAAAAUGAGGGUCCCUAAGAAAUAAGCGCCGGCUACCCCGGUC
RNAcentral lists this ribosomal RNA (435 nucleotides) under uncultured bacterium. Its description in RNAcentral is "partial 16S ribosomal RNA". It matches the Rfam family "Bacterial small subunit ribosomal RNA", at positions 28 to 507 of the family's 1533-position model. The record is from RNAcentral.